UGGGCAAUUGGAUUCCAAUUAAAGUCUGUUUAUAGUUUUUGGAAAAUAUUUUUUUUUUUCGUUUUACGGCCAGCCAAGCAAAAAGGCUCUAUCCAGAAGAUUAAGCAGCUGGGAUACGAGUAAUCGGCUCCAGUGAGAGAUUCUGGUCGUGAUUUAAAAGCUGGGAAAUAUGGUUCCAACGAGCGAAAUGACGUAGGAUGAUGACAGACACAAGACACAUUUGCGGGAGCAUGUUACUCAAUGAAAGAAAUUUUCAUCAUUUUCAAAUAAAAAGGGUUGAAUGAAACACGUGAAUGAUCUAUUCAGUUCUAGAGGUGAUUUAAGCAAAUUUCAUUUAAUCACGGAGGCAGGCGAAAUAUGGUUUUACAUCAGAGGUGGCAAAUUAAAAAUAUUUUUACAUCCAGUCUCUCCGCAUAAUCCUCUCAUCAAAAGUUACUAGAUUUGAACUUUUGGAAAACCUUGAAAACUACAAGUGACAGCGAUCGUACAUUCACGAAAACCUUAAUCGAAUGGUUGUGUCAAUAUUUAGUCAACGUCGGGAGAAUUCCCGGAAUUUCGAGACUUCAAAUUCAGGCGUAGAUAAUUGCAUUUUUGCUAAUUUCCAACCCUUAUGAAAAGCUUGCAAAUUAUGAAGCGUGUGCCCAGGCAAUUUAAGGAUGGCCGAGAAAGUGUAGCAAAUGAGCGCAUCCGUGUCAUCCGUGUCGAGAGAUUAUCGAUGGUGUUUUUGAGACAGAGACAAGCGGGAAAGACAGUUAAGAUGCGUGCGUAUUGUGCACGAGAGAAGAUCCAAUAUGCACGCCGCUUCCAUGUACUAUCAAGACUCCAGGUCGGCAAAGCUCGCUCCACGUCGAAUAUUAUACAUAUACCACAAUAUUGGAAAGUGUGGCCGGCUCUUGCGGCGUUGUGAUAAUGUUCUCCGGCAAGUCUGAUGGAAGUUCACGUGGAUCCAGAAAUCGAAAGGCGUACCCACAUUACCUUACACAGCGUUAAAAAAGGUAGUUUUUAGAAUGCGCUCGGAGUGUCCUUUCCAUCUGCUUGAUAGGAGAUGUCCAGUUAUUCUCGAACAUGGGAAAACUGGGGCAUACCAGAAAAAUGACGAACUACACACAGUAUGAAAUCCCAAGGAUAGCAGGCUAGAUGACGAACUUGCAGUUGAAGAGCACAGGCGCAUCGUUAUCUGCAUCAUUAGUC
Hermetia illucens (black soldier fly) is the source of this 1191-nucleotide long non-coding RNA. RefSeq lists it as uncharacterized. The record is from RefSeq and is a predicted model, not a curated record. Lineage: Eukaryota; Metazoa; Arthropoda; Insecta; Diptera; Stratiomyidae. The transcript is spliced from 4 exons.